GACACGUUUUAAACACUAGCAGAUUUCGCGUCAAAGCACACUGUUUUGUUACGACGAAAAAAAAAUUAAAGAACAAAAACAAAACAAAACCGAGGCGAAUUUUCAACCCCGUCGUUGACGCCGGAGUUAUAAACUUUAAAGUUUGAAGUUCUUCUUCACGUUUCAAAAUAUAAACUUUACUUCUUGCCAUUUCAAUAUUCUCUAAACAGGAUACGAGAUCCGCCAAAACGGUACAAGCUAAGUUUUGUGUACAAGCUAAGUUUUAAAAAGUUUUAAAACGAUAUCUUAGAAUUUGUACCCACUUCCCACUGAUUAACCAGGCAUUAAACGAGGUUCGUACCCGUUGUUCCUUUUCUCUUCUGAUUAUCCCUAUUAGCAUGUGCUUGUUUGUCUCAAUACCUCAAAAUCAUCUUGCGCGUCGUCGAAUCUCUGGUAACUGCCCCUUAAUAUGAAAUCUUUCCAUUCUUAGGUCAAGAAAUUCAAUAUAAAUUGUUCAACAUAAAUGGAUGAACAUAAAGAAAGAACAUGAAUAUCAAUGUCAGUUCCUUUGCCAUUGUUUAUCUUUGUCCUACUUGUAAUGAGAUCAAGAUCAUCUGCUUAUAUCAUUUGUGAAUUGUGUGAAAGUGUUCAGCUUACUUGAUAACUUGUAUGAAACUCAACAUGAAUUGUUCACCAUAAAUGAAUGAACAUAAAGACCUAGAACAUGAAUAUCAAUCUCCGUUUCUUCGCCAUUGUUUAUCGUUGUCUAUCUUCUAAUGGAAAUAAGACGAUCCUUAAAGACUACCUGCUUUUCGUUCGUGUCAAAGUGUCCAUGCAGCUUACGCGUGAAUAUUACAACGCAAUGUGCGUACAUGGAGAGGCAUCGUGCAGUAAAAUUCAACCAGAACAAGUAAGUGUAUUUUAAAAUUCUGUCGUGAAAUAGCCUGCGCGAAUGAAACGUCCAGAUGUCUUGAAAUGCCGAGAAAUUACACAGUAAUAUACACAAUUAUUGAAUGGAGAAAGCUAGAAAAUCGAUUUGCCUGCAAUGGCAGUGAAUUAUCAAUUUUGAAUUGAGGGAAAAAAGUAUACUACGUAUUUGGCUUCACGUUCACCUAAUUUAGAAAAUCAAAUCAAAGCCAUGUACGAAAGAAAAUUUGUGUACUAAUUUUAUUGGGCUCCCAUAAUUUCUCAUUGUAUAAUAAUCAUACUGAUUUAAAGAAAACCAUGCACUUGUUAUGAGGAACACUUCUGUUUCCCUAAACUGCAAAGUAUAUACGUUAAGGAUGAGCUUUAUGAAAGAUUAACAUAUAAAUAUAUAACAUAUAUCAAGACUAUAUGACAUAUAGAAAUGCAGAGUUUUAAAUCGGGUUAACACUUUUCCAAAGCAUAGGGUAUUAUAUUAUAUGCAUAGGUUACAUGUAAUGUUUUAUGAGCACAGUAUGUUUUUUAUUUUCAUUAAUUUUUGGGAUCGUUUUUCGUUUCCCAUCGUUCUCAUCAUCCAUUAGUUUUCUCAAAACGCUUCGCUGCAGGCUUAACUAGCAUCAUCCGGGACAUCUGCCAGAUUGUAUGCAAGGAUCUGGAGAAAUUGAGAAAGCUCGGGUUAAUCGCUAUCGCUCGAUCAUCAUUAGGUUAUGAUCUUUACUACAGCAAAUUCAUUUUCCCAUUUUUCUUAUAACUGGGUCAUCAAGGGAUUAAGAGAUCUAUAUAACAUAAAGAAUUUCUUAGCAAGAGUGGAUAACUGUCUGACACAUUCACGUUAGCUUAGAUAUUAAUUUUGUAGUCGAGAUGAAUAUUGAUGUAUAAGUAUCUGUCAUGACGUUUCUAAUCACCUCUGUGAGGGAUCCAAGCUCGGCCAGGGCUUCUUUGCUAAUGUAAUUUGGGACCCUUUGUGGCCUGGUCGCAUCGUUAGUGGUGUCUAGAUGUAAAAUAAAAUGUCAUUUUGUAAUCUCAUCAUCCAUUUGACCAUUAGUUUUAUUAAAACGCUCCCCUGCAGCCUUUUAGUAGAACCGGGACAUCUACCAGAUUGUAUCUAAGGGCAUAGAGAAGUUGAUGCAGCUCGGGUUGCUCCCCUGAACUGAUGUUGAUUUAUGAUUAAAGGUAAUAAUAAAAUACAGGAGCUGUAUUUUGUUAACUACUUAUCGUUAGCUAUACCGAUAUUAACCAUUACCCUGACGAGAAAUAGUUUCGCCAUUUUUUUAUCCUGAAUUUCCCAAAGACAAUAAUAAUACACAAAGAAUGGUAAUAUGAUAAUGAUAGUAAUAUACACAAAGAAUAGUGAAUAAAACGUUUUUGUUGGCACUGAUAUUGUUAACUGGCAACAAUGAAGCAACGAAAUAUCGCUCGUUUGUUUAAAGGAAUAUAAAAAGAAAAUUAUACCUUCGCACAACACGACUCCCAUCAUGGAAUUCGGCCAUUUCAGUUAACUCUACGGUCCAUCGCCAUCGUGGCUCAUUGACAACUAUAUAUAAGUUAUGUGUUUCCUACGAACCUCAGAGAGACGUUUGUUGCUGCUUCAUCGUACUUUCAUCAUUUCUCAAAAAGCGAUUGCAAAAUUGCAAAUUGUGGAAAAUCAUGUUUCUCUUUUCCAAAGUCUUUUUCUGAUGCAUUUAAAAAAGAUUUUGGAACUGCAAGGCGAUUAAAAAUUUUUGCCUUGGUUGAAUUGCUAGUUUUGUCUCAAACAUUUGGGUCAGUAAUUUUGUAUCUAUCAUGCACAUCCUACCUAGAUUGAUGCAAAUACGAAAAAUUCAAGUUGGGUUUAGUUCACUGAAGAACAUUGUUUUCAAAUUAGAUAUUAAGAAAUGCUGUUUAGCAAUGUGGAAUAGUCAAAAAUAAAUAAAAUGCCUCUUUUUAUAUCUAAUUGCGGUCAGUGCGAUAAUUAAUUACUACAAUGCUUUGCGCGGACGCGAUGGCGUAAAAAGAUUUGACGCAAUAAUUAGCUUUGUCAUAAUUGAUUGACUGCGCAAGUGAAAACAUUACUUUUUACCCGUGAAAAUUCUUUUGAAAUGGCGAGUAAUCAAAAUCGAUAUCGGUUGGAUAAAUACUCUGGAAGAAAGUAUCAGCCACCGCUUCUAGAAUUUCUACAAAUACAAAACUACGUCUUCUCUUUGAUUAACAAUGCUAAGAAAAUCUUGAUCGAAGAGGAAAUGAACAACAACAAACUCCAAGAUAGUGGAAAGAAAGACCAGGGAGCAGGUUUCGAAGAACUUCGUGAGAAUGAAAAGGGAGAGAAUGAAACGAAAUCUCUUCACGAAGAAAGCGUGGAUAAAAGUCUCCCUGAUGAACCUCUUCCUGGCUUCUGUAAUGAAAGUUUGGACGAUCAAUUUAUUAAUGCAGAAAGCGAAUGUCCUCAUGCUGGAGAGCUGGACAAUGAAACUGAUCACCAACCUUCGUUGCUGACCACUCCUGAACUUAUCGUUGCACUUUGUCGUUAGGGAGAACAAACUAAAUUACCGACAGUUGAAAGUGAAACGAAAAUCACCGGCGAGAAAGAAUCCGUCGAUGACCUCAGCGGCAAUGACUGUGUUCAAUCCUGUAGUCAAAAAAGUCUCAGUGUGCCAGAGAUAAACGUUUGCGACGUGCCGGGUGCUGAGGCUGACCCCACCCAGGUGUUGAGUCCCGCCGCGUCUUCAUGUCUCGAGAAGCCUCGGUCUGACUUUGAAAGUGCUUUGCCAUUGAAACAGGAAUCUACUAAUGAUCCAGUAGUGAUCAGUGAGAAGGCAAUCUCUCGUGAUUCAGAUGUUAUAAUUCCUGAAAUGAACAGUGUUGAGGAUACAGGAAAUACAGGCGAUGAGGUAUGGUCACCCAAAUGAUAACAUCAAUCGAAGGGUUGCGGCACCCGACGCCGUAAAAAAUCGUAAGGCUGGUAGUCAAGGUUUGAAACAGAAUACUGGAAAUAAUUAAGAGUGAAUUACCUGACGGGGAAAGGCCUCCAGUUGUUCCUCACGUAUAUGCAAAAGUUUUCAUAUCAAACCAAAACGAUGAUGACGAUUCUUACAGGCAUAACGUUGUCGUUUCUGGAAAUGUCAUGGAUUCAGAAACCCCAGGAACGUCAAAUCGGAAAUGUCAAAUGGAAGAUCAUGAAGACCAUUUUGAGGAAUUUGUUGUAACAAGUAGUAGUGGCUUUAUGACAAAGAAAAACAGGAAAUAUAUUACCUGCAAAAAGGAAAAAGAGAAUGCCAGCACGAAGGAGGUGGCAGAUAAGAAAACUAAGACUAAGAACAAGAAUGUUAAAGCAGAUAAAAACGGGAAAGAAAAUUUCGUCAAAGACUUCGUGAUUUAUUCUGCUGCUGUCUUCGCCAUUCAGAAAGAGGACAUAAAAUAGGAUUGUUUAAAAAUAUUGACAUUCCGACAGGAAAGGACCUGAUAUUUAGACUAGAGUGUAUAUAUUUGUAAAUUAUAAUAUAAUGUAUAGAAAUAAUUUUUUUUAUAUAAAGAAGAAAGAC
Molecule: unclassified non-coding RNA, 4421 nt
Filed under: Dendronephthya gigantea
Lineage: Eukaryota; Metazoa; Cnidaria; Anthozoa; Malacalcyonacea; Nephtheidae
Description: uncharacterized LOC114521174, transcript variant X1
Source: RNAcentral